CGGGCACAGAGGGAAGCCAGGUGGCGACACCGCGCGGAACCCGAAAGCCGUUCUCAGUUCGGAUCGGAGUCUGCAACCCGACUCCGUGAAGCUGGAUUCGCUAGUAAUCGCGCAUCAGCCAUGGCGCGGUGAAUACGUUCCCGGGCCUUGUACACACCGCCCGUCAAGCCAUGGGAGCCGGGGGUGCUUGAAGUGCGUCGCCGCAAGGCGCGCCCUAGAGCAAAACCGGUGACUGGGGCUAAGUCGUAACAAGGUAUC
Molecule: ribosomal RNA, 258 nt
Filed under: uncultured bacterium
Lineage: Bacteria
Description: partial 16S ribosomal RNA
Rfam family: Bacterial small subunit ribosomal RNA
Source: RNAcentral